Molecule: ribosomal RNA, 433 nt
Filed under: uncultured bacterium
Lineage: Bacteria
Description: partial 16S ribosomal RNA
Rfam family: Bacterial small subunit ribosomal RNA
Source: RNAcentral
AACGAACGCUGGCGGCAUGCCUAACACAUGCAAGUCGAACGAGACCUUCGGGUCUAGUGGCGCACGGGUGCGUAACGCGUGGGAACCUGCCCUUAGGUUCGGAAUAACUCCCCGAAAGGGGUGCUAAUACCGGAUAAUGUCUUCGGACCAAAGAUUUAUCGCCUUUGGAUGGGCCCGCGUUGGAUUAGCUAGUUGGUAGGGUAAAAGCCUACCAAGGCGACGAUCCAUAGCUGGUCUGAGAGGAGGAUCAGCCACACUGGGACUGAGACACGGCCCAGACUCCUACGGGAGGCAGCAGUGGGGAAUAUUGGACAGUGGGCGAAAGCCUGAUCCAGCAAUGCCGCGUGAGUGAUGAAGGCCUUAGGGUUGUAAAGCUCUUUUACCCGGGAUGAUAAUGACAGUACCGGGAGAAUAAGCUCCGGCUAACUCCGUG